GUUUCGUGCCUUCGGGAACUCAAACACAGGUGCUGCAUGGCUGUCGUCAGCUCGUGUCGUGAGAUGUUGGGUUAAGUCCCGCAACGAGCGCAACCCUUGUCCUUAGUUGCCAGCAUUUAGUUGGGCACUCUAAGGAGACUGCCGGUGACAAACCGGAGGAAGGUGGGGACGACGUCCAGUCAUCAUGGCCCUUACGUGUAGGGCUACACACGUGCUACAAUGGCAUAUACAGAGGGAUGC
RNAcentral lists this ribosomal RNA (240 nucleotides) under Alteromonas sp. RNAcentral describes it as "partial 16S ribosomal RNA". It matches the Rfam family "Bacterial small subunit ribosomal RNA", at positions 1009 to 1250 of the family's 1533-position model. The record is from RNAcentral. Lineage: Bacteria; Pseudomonadati; Pseudomonadota; Gammaproteobacteria; Alteromonadales; Alteromonadaceae.